CUGCCGUGCAAAUGAGUCUUGUUCCUCCUUAAUCUCAUUCCUCUCAGACACAAACCCAACCCAAAUGUAAUAGUUAAGGACUAUUUAAAGGGGGUACAGCCCCUUUAAAAAAGGAUACAACCUCCGCCAGCGGAUAACCCCCCCCCCCACAUCUAACCCCGUGGGCCUUAAAGCAGCCACCCCCAAAGAUUGCGUCAAAGCUCCAUCAACCAAAAACCCCAAAAACCAAUGCGACUCCCUACAUCCAUAGCAAGCCAACCUAUAACAAUAGAUGAAUCAAUGCUAGAACGAGUAACCAGGACACUAUGUCCCCCUAAGCGCCAGCCUAUCCACCAUUAACAGUAAAACCUCAAUAACAACCACCCUCCCCUCCCACCAUUGAACGCAUCCUGUUAAUCCAACCCAGGGGCGCACACUGGAGUGAUCAAAAUCUACAAAAGGAACUCGGCAAACCUAAGACCCGACUGUUUACCAAAAACAUAGCCUUCAGCCAAACAAGUAUUGAAGGUGAUGCCUGCCCAGUGACACUACGUUUAACGGCCGCGGUAUCCUAACCGUGCAAAGGUAGCGCAAUCAAUUGUCUCAUAAAUCGAGACCUGUAUGAACGGCUAAACGAGGUCUUAACUGUCUCCUGUAGACAAUCGGUGAAACUGAUCUCUCUGUACAAAAGCAGAGAUGAGCCCAUAAGACGAGAAGACCCUGUGGAACUUCAAAAUCAAUAGCCACCUCACCCAACUUACAAAUCCACCCGGACCCACCACCCAAAACACUGGCUAAC
This 778-nucleotide ribosomal RNA is filed under the name Cyanoliseus patagonus (burrowing parakeet). RNAcentral describes it as "partial 16S ribosomal RNA". The stretch from base 422 to 675 matches the Rfam family "Archaeal large subunit ribosomal RNA", at positions 1787 to 2143 of the family's 2987-position model. The record is from RNAcentral. Lineage: Eukaryota; Metazoa; Chordata; Aves; Psittaciformes; Psittacidae.